This 229-nucleotide ribosomal RNA is filed under the name Salmonella enterica subsp. enterica serovar Corvallis. RNAcentral's name for it is "partial 16S ribosomal RNA". It matches the Rfam family "Bacterial small subunit ribosomal RNA", at positions 1317 to 1533 of the family's 1533-position model. Lineage: Bacteria; Pseudomonadati; Pseudomonadota; Gammaproteobacteria; Enterobacterales; Enterobacteriaceae. The record is from RNAcentral.
UCCAUGAAGUCGGAAUCGCUAGUAAUCGUGGAUCAGAAUGCCACGGUGAAUACGUUCCCGGGCCUUGUACACACCGCCCGUCACACCAUGGGAGUGGGUUGCAAAAGAAGUAGGUAGCUUAACCUUCGGGAGGGCGCUUACCACUUUGUGAUUCAUGACUGGGGUGAAGUCGUAACAAGGUAACCGUAGGGGAACCUGCGGUUGGAUCACCUCCUUACCUGAAAGAAGC